GUCCCCGUGGCACAAUAGGAUAGCGCAAUCCCCUCCUAAGGGAUAGGUUACAGGUUCGAUUCCUGUCGGGGACGCCA
This 77-nucleotide transfer RNA is filed under the name Gammaproteobacteria bacterium. RNAcentral describes it as "tRNA-Arg". It matches the Rfam family "tRNA". From Rfam's summary of the family: Transfer RNA (tRNA) molecules are approximately 80 nucleotides in length. Their secondary structure includes four short double-helical elements and three loops (D, anti-codon, and T loops). Lineage: Bacteria; Pseudomonadati; Pseudomonadota; Gammaproteobacteria. The record is from RNAcentral.